Molecule: long non-coding RNA, 392 nt
Filed under: Priapulus caudatus
Lineage: Eukaryota; Metazoa; Priapulida; Priapulimorpha; Priapulimorphida; Priapulidae
Description: uncharacterized LOC106811340, transcript variant X3
Source: RNAcentral
AAGCGCGCAUAUAUGAAUGAAUCACUUGGACUUUCGUCACGCCGUGACGGGCUUCUCUCUUGCGAGAUAUAUCACGGUCAGUAUACACGUGGUCCGAAGAGUCCCCGCCAUGUUCUCUCUGUGUUUCUGUCGUCAAAGAUUCAAGCUGUGAUCAAGACACAACUUCGAAUGCGCACAAUUACAGCUAACGCAUUGUCCAUCGCCAGACUGGAGGAUACGGAGAUUUAUGACGUUUUCGAGGCAGCGUCGUGCAAUGAUUGAGUGGUUACCGGUCUCCAGUUGAACAUACCAAGAGGUGCACAGAGAUAUACUGCAAAUCACGUCGCUGAAGGACACGGAGAAUCAACAUGUUUUCGAGGCAACGUCGUGCACCGCUCGCCAGUUGAGCAUAC